GCCGGGCGCAGUGGCGCGCGCCUGUAAUCCCAGCGGCUCAGGAGGCUAAGGCGGGAGGAUCGCGCAUUCAAAGCCACCCUCAGCAACUUAGUGAGGCCCUAAGCAACUCAGUGAGACUCUGUCUUUA
This 127-nucleotide small RNA is filed under the name Marmota monax (woodchuck). Lineage: Eukaryota; Metazoa; Chordata; Mammalia; Rodentia; Sciuridae. The record is from RNAcentral.